This is a long non-coding RNA of Magnolia sinica, 1269 nucleotides long. RefSeq lists it as uncharacterized. The transcript has 2 exons. The record is from RefSeq and is a predicted model, not a curated record. Lineage: Eukaryota; Viridiplantae; Streptophyta; Magnoliopsida; Magnoliales; Magnoliaceae.
GAAACACCCGAAAUAAAUUUUCUUAUUCCAUGUCAAAAGGCUGCAAUUUGAAGUUCAUAACAUGCAUUUGAUGAAGACUCUCCCUAGUCCUGAAUUCCUGAUAGAAUCAGAUCUUAAACAAUCACCAAAUUCUUAUCCAUUCCCCAAAAAUAUGUAAAAAUAUCAAACUCUGCUUAAUUACUUCACUGAAACCAAAACCCCAUAAUAUAAAGCAUCAGAAUUUUGAGAAAACAGCUAAGCAAAGCACAGUCUGAACUAGUGGAUAGCAACCACAGGCAAAAGCCUACCCCCUCUAGAAGAUCAGUGUGCGCUACAGGACUAGUGUGGGUAUGCAGCCUAACCUUGUAUGUAUUGGCAUAUGUGACACAAUAUUUUCUAACAAUCAGUAGGACUAUUUGGGUCAUUAUCACUAGGGAAAUGGUAGGGACAUAAGCGACUGGUCUUCAGCAGAUUCCUUUGUGAAUAUCAUUUGUGUAUAUGAACAGACAAUUGGUCAUCUGUUAGUCCAGAGUGUGGAGUUAUUCUAAUUCAUGGACUGCUUUUCCGAAGAUUUCUUCAUUUAUAUCAACAGGACAUGAUAUGGACAUUUUAGGUCGUGUGAUGGAUCUUGUCUUUUGAUAAUCAGCAAUAGUUGUGGAAAUUAAGUGCGAAAGUUUUUUUCCUUUCAAGUGUGGAAAGAUAUGAUAAUGUGUCCAAGAGAGAGAUUGAUCAAAAAAGCAUUGGAUCCAUCCGAUCUGCUUGCAUGCGUAUCCAUGGUAGCUUGAAAGCUUACUUUCCUAUCAUUUUUAAGUAAUGCAAGCUCAUUUUUGUAUUAUUUUAAUUAAUACAUUCUGAAAUUGCAUCUAUGAUUUCAAGAGGGUGCCAAAUAUAAUUUAGUGUUUUUCUUCUUUUCGAAUGGCAGUACAACAGCAAAAGAAGGAUUUGUGGGUUCUUUCGGUCUUCUUACCUAGGUCUUCUCUUAUGUUUAGGAAUUCCUGUUGAAGGGUGUUGAACGACACAGCUGCUGCUUAAGCAUAAAUCCACAGCCUUGCAUUGGAAAGAGAUACGGCCUUGCAUUGGAAGAAGAUACAUCAUGUCAACAGGGCAAGGCAUCGCAAUUUUAAGCUUGGUAUGAUGGGUCGUCUCGACCUUAAAAAGACUUCAUAAGUCUUGUGUUUGGUUCUUCUUGACGAUGAGCCACCUUAGCAUCGAUUUGCAUGCUCACGGCUGCACACAGUACACACCAAGGUUUCCUUUCAAAAAAGAAGGGUUCUUAGAAAAAAAGAAGAA